AACGAACGCUGGCGGCAUGCCUAACACAUGCAAGUCGAACGAUGCCUUCGGGCAUAGUGGCGCACGGGUGCGUAACGCGGGGGAAUCUGCCUUUCGGUUCGGAAUAACUCAGGGAAACUUGAGCUAAUACCGGAUAACGUCGCAAGACCAAAGAUUUAUCACGGAAAGAUGAGCCCGCGUAGGAUUAGCUAGUUGGUGAGGUAAAGGCUCACCAAGGCGACGAUCCUUAGCUGGUCUGAGAGGAUGAUCAGCCACACUGGGACUGAGACACGGCCUAGACUCCUACGCGAGGCAGCAGUGGAGAAUAUUAGACGCUGGGCGAAAGCCUGAUACAGCCAUGCCGGGUGAGUGGUGCAGGCCUUAGGGUUGUAAAGCUGUUUUACCCGGGAAGAUAAUGACGGUACCGGGAGAAUAAGCCCCGGCUAACUACGUG
Molecule: ribosomal RNA, 433 nt
Filed under: uncultured bacterium
Lineage: Bacteria
Description: partial 16S ribosomal RNA
Rfam family: Bacterial small subunit ribosomal RNA
Source: RNAcentral